AAAUUGAAGAGUUUGAUCAUGGCUCAGAUUGAACGCUGGCGGCAGGCCUAACACAUGCAAGUCGAGCGGUAGCACAGAGAGCUUGCUCUCGGGUGACGAGCGGCGGACGGGUGAGUAAUGUCUGGGAAACUGCCUGAUGGAGGGGGAUAACUACUGGAAACGGUAGCUAAUACCGCAUAAUGUCGCAAGACCAAAGUGGGGGACCUUCGGGCCUCAUGCCAUCAGAUGUGCCCAGAUGGGAUUAGCUAGUAGGUGGGGUAACGGCUCACCUAGGCGACGAUCCCUAGCUGGUCUGAGAGGAUGACCAGCCACACUGGAACUGAGACACGGUCCAGACUCCUACGGGAGGCAGCAGUGGGGAAUAUUGCACAAUGGGCGCAAGCCUGAUGCAGCCAUGCCGCGUGUGUGAAGAAGGCCUUCGGGUUGUAAAGCACUUUCAGCGGGGAGGAAGGCGAUAAGGUUAAUAACCUUGUCGAUUGACGUUACCCGCAGAAGAAGCACCGGCUAACUCCGUGCCAGCAGCCGCGGUAAUACGGAGGGUGCAAGCGUUAAUCGGAAUUACUGGGCGUAAAGCGCACGCAGGCGGUCUGUCAAGUCGGAUGUGAAAUCCCCGGGCUUAACCUGGGAACUGCAUUCGAAACUGGCAGGCUAGAGUCUUGUAGAGGGGGGUAGAAUUCCAGGUGUAGCGGUGAAAUGCGUAGAGAUCUGGAGGAAUACCGGUGGCGAAGGCGGCCCCCUGGACAAAGACUGACGCUCAGGUGCGAAAGCGUGGGGAGCAAACAGGAUUAGAUACCCUGGUAGUCCACGCCGUAAACGAUGUCGAUUUGGAGGUUGUGCCCUUGAGGCGUGGCUUCCGGAGCUAACGCGUUAAAUCGACCGCCUGGGGAGUACGGCCGCAAGGUUAAAACUCAAAUGAAUUGACGGGGGCCCGCACAAGCGGUGGAGCAUGUGGUUUAAUUCGAUGCAACGCGAAGAACCUUACCUGGUCUUGACAUCCACAGAACUUAGCAGAGAUGCUUUGGUGCCUUCGGGAACUGUGAGACAGGUGCUGCAUGGCUGUCGUCAGCUCGUGUUGUGAAAUGUUGGGUUAAGUCCCGCAACGAGCGCAACCCUUAUCCUUUGUUGCCAGCGGUUAGGCCGGGAACUCAAAGGAGACUGCCAGUGAUAAACUGGAGGAAGGUGGGGAUGACGUCAAGUCAUCAUGGCCCUUACGACCAGGGCUACACACGUGCUACAAUGGCAUAUACAAAGAGAAGCGACCUCGCGAGAGCAAGCGGACCUCAUAAAGUAUGUCGUAGUCCGGAUUGGAGUCUGCAACUCGACUCCAUGAAGUCGGAAUCGCUAGUAAUCGUAGAUCAGAAUGCUACGGUGAAUACGUUCCCGGGCCUUGUACACACCGCCCGUCACACCAUGGGAGUGGGUUGCAAAAGAAGUAGGUAGCUUAACCUUCGGGAGGGCGCUUACCACUUUGUGAUUCAUGACUGGGGUGAAGUCGUAACAAGGUAACCGUAGGGGAACCUGCGGUUGGAUCACCUCCUUA
RNAcentral lists this ribosomal RNA (1540 nucleotides) under Klebsiella pneumoniae. RNAcentral's name for it is "bacterial SSU rRNA". It matches the Rfam family "Bacterial small subunit ribosomal RNA". The record is from RNAcentral. Lineage: Bacteria; Pseudomonadati; Pseudomonadota; Gammaproteobacteria; Enterobacterales; Enterobacteriaceae.